GAUGAACGCUGGCGGCGUGCCUAAUACAUGCAAGUCGAGCGAACAGAUGAGAAGCUUGCUUCUCUGAUGUUAGCGGCGGACGGGUGGGUAACACGUGGGUAACCUACCUAUAAGACUGGGAUAACUCCGGGAAACCGGGGCUAAUACCGGAUAAUAUUUUGAACCGCAUGGUUCAAAAGUGAAAGACGGUUUCGGCUGUCACUUAUAGAUGGACCCGCGCCGUAUUAGCUAGUUGGUAAGGUAACGGCUUACCAAGGCGACGAUACGUAGCCGACCGGAGAGGGUGAUCGGCCACACUGGAACGGAGACACGCACCAGACUCCUACGGGAGGCAGCAGUAGGGAAUCUUCCGAAAGGGGCGAAAGCCUGACGGAGCAACGCCGCGUGAGUGAUGAAGGUCUUCGGAACGUAAAACUCUGUUGUUAGGGAAGAACAAAUUUGUUAGUAACUAAAAAAGUCUUGACGGUACCUACCCAGAAAGCCACGGCUAACUACGUGCCAGCCGCCGCAGUAA
Molecule: ribosomal RNA, 514 nt
Filed under: uncultured bacterium
Lineage: Bacteria
Description: partial 16S ribosomal RNA
Rfam family: Bacterial small subunit ribosomal RNA
Source: RNAcentral